GACGCUGAACCAGGUGGCCUGGACAUCGGCUGCAACCCGAUGGCCUCGGGGUUCGAUUCCCGGCGGCGUCU
RNAcentral lists this transfer RNA (71 nucleotides) under Gemmataceae bacterium. RNAcentral describes it as "tRNA-Cys". Lineage: Bacteria; Pseudomonadati; Planctomycetota; Planctomycetia; Gemmatales; Gemmataceae. The record is from RNAcentral.